Tympanuchus pallidicinctus (lesser prairie-chicken) is the source of this 544-nucleotide long non-coding RNA. RefSeq lists it as uncharacterized. The record is from RefSeq and is a predicted model, not a curated record. The transcript has 3 exons. NCBI's taxonomy places the organism in Eukaryota, Metazoa, Chordata, Aves, Galliformes, Phasianidae.
UUUUCUGUUGGAUUCUAAAGAUGUAAGAGUAAGAUAUUGCAGCAUAUUUCACUUUCUAGGUUUUUACCUGAACUUGAGCCUCCAGCUGUAUUUUUUUAAUGUUACUGUAUGGGAACUGCUGAAUCAUGGCCUGAACCUCUGAUUGACCACCUGAAGCGAGCAAUGAGUCAGCCCUUGGAGCACAGGUGAAGGCAAUUCUCCUGCCCUACUGGAAGGGUGCAGCAUGGUUCCACCUCUCCUAAACCCCAUUUAAGAGCUGACUGCCUGUGGGGGAGGAUCUCUUUUGGAGAUGGUGUCUCUUGGAUUCUUCUCAGUGAGCCUAGGACAAGAGUUCAAAUCCUAACUUGCAAUUCUGGUACCUGCAAAUGUGGUUUUCUUUUGGAGAAGAUGUGUGUGUUUGAGGAUUUUUUUGAUACAACAAAUGCUGUUUAACUUUUAUGAGCAUCUGUCUGGCGUGUACACGUUAAAUCCUGGAGCUUUUUCUCCGUGCCAUGUCAGGAGAGGUUGCAUGGUGAGGCUGUCUGCUGGGGAGAGGAACAGGGGA